This 114-nucleotide non-coding RNA is filed under the name Aureoumbra lagunensis. Lineage: Eukaryota; Pelagophyceae; Sarcinochrysidales; Sarcinochrysidaceae. The record is from RNAcentral.
GUGCUAGUAGUGCUUAAUAAUUAGCACCGCGCUCUAAACGAGCUAACCUAAGAAUACUCCUGCAUUGUGUGCCUUAUUAAAAAGUACUUGAGCACAGUGUAGCGUUUUUACAUA